UCACACAAACUCAAUUUAUUUUAAAAUGAAUGUAAUGA
Molecule: ribosomal RNA, 38 nt
Filed under: Ceratobasidium sp. TAR-2006a
Lineage: Eukaryota; Fungi; Basidiomycota; Agaricomycetes; Cantharellales; Ceratobasidiaceae
Description: partial 5.8S ribosomal RNA
Source: RNAcentral